GUCUCUUCGGGGAUGAUUAAACCGGCGCACGGGUGAGUAACACGUGAGUGACCUGCCUUUUAGACUGGAACAACUUACCGAAAGGUGAGCUAAUGCCGGAUGAGUUAUAUAAGUGCAUGUUUAUAUAGGAAAAGUUGGGGAGACCUGACGCUGAAAGAUGGACUCGCGUCCCAUUAGCUAGUUGGUAGGGUAAUGGCCUACCAAGGCGACGAUGGGUAGCCGGCCUGAGAGGGUGGCCGGCCACACUGGGACUGAGACACGGCCCAGACUCCUACGGGAGGCAGCAGUGGGGAAUUUUGCGCAAUGCUCGUAAGAGUGACGCAACGACGCCGCGUGAAUGACGAAGGCCUUCGGGUCGUAAAGUUCUUUCGACAGGGAAGAAAAUGCCUAUAAGUAACUGUGUAUGUAUUGACGGUACCUGUAUAAGCAGCCCCGGCUAACUCCGUGCCAGCAGCCGCGGUAAUACGGAGGGGGCGAGCGUUGUUCGGAGUGACUGGGCGUAAAGAGCACGUAGGCGGUGUUGUAAGUCAUUAGUCAAAGACUAGAGCUCAACUUUAGUAAGGCUAGUGAUACUAUAAUACUAGAGUAUCAGAGAGGAUUGCAGAAUUCCUGGUGUAGCGGUGAAAUGCGUAGAUAUCAGGAGGAAUACCGUUAGCGAAGGCGGCAAUCUGGCUGGAAACUGACGCUGAGGUGCGAAAGCGUGGGUAGCAAACAGGAUUAGAUACCCUGGUAGUCCACGCUGUAAACGAU
Molecule: ribosomal RNA, 750 nt
Filed under: uncultured bacterium
Lineage: Bacteria
Description: bacterial SSU rRNA
Rfam family: Bacterial small subunit ribosomal RNA
Source: RNAcentral